GUGACAUACCACUUGUUGCCUCGGCGGAUCAGCCCGCUCCCGGUAAAACGGGACGGCCCGCCAGAGGACCCCUAAACUCUGUUUCUAUAUGUAACUUCUGAGUAAAACCAUAAAUAAAUCAAAACUUUCAACAACGGAUCUCUUGGUUCUGGCAUCGAUGAAGAACGCAGCAAAAUGCGAUAAGUAAUGUGAAUUGCAGAAUUCAGUGAAUCAUCGAAUCUUUGAACGCACAUUGCGCCCGCCAGUAUUCUGGCGGGCAUGCCUGUUCGAGCGUCAUUUCAACCCUCAAGCACAGCUUGGUGUUGGGACUCGCGUUAAUUCGCGUUCCUCAAAUUGAUUGGCGGUCACGUCGAGCUUCCAUAGCGUAGUAGUAAAACCCUCGUUACUGGUAAUCGUCGCGGCCACGCCGUUAAACCCCAACUUCUGAAUGUUGACCUCGGAUCAGGUAGGAAUACCCGCUGAACUUAAGCAU
Molecule: ribosomal RNA, 472 nt
Filed under: Fusarium oxysporum
Lineage: Eukaryota; Fungi; Ascomycota; Sordariomycetes; Hypocreales; Nectriaceae
Description: eukaryotic LSU rRNA
Rfam family: 5.8S ribosomal RNA (bases 123-276)
Source: RNAcentral